Molecule: long non-coding RNA, 771 nt
Organism: Drosophila ficusphila
Lineage: Eukaryota; Metazoa; Arthropoda; Insecta; Diptera; Drosophilidae
Exons: 2
Source: RefSeq, a predicted model, not a curated record
CAAUCUUUCAAUAAAUGAAAAAUAAGUAGGGAUACAAAAUUUGAGGUAUAAGGUACGAUUUGGGGAUUUCUGUCACCUACAACAUAAUAGUGUUUUUUAUUGAAGAAGAGAGCGAAGAAGAUCUCAAAACAAAAGCUGCAAUAGACGAGAAGCAACAGGAAAAAACAUGGGGAAUCCGAAUAGAAAAAAAAAGAAUUCAUAGCAGACACCCAAACAAAGCGAAGAGGAGAUAGACAGGGAGGGAGGAGAAACCCGUUGCCAUGUGCAAUCCAAGAAAACAAAUGCGAGCAAGUUACCAGAAACAGAGAGAAAAAACAAAAACAAAAAUAGAGACUGCGAGCAAUAGACCGUUUAAACGGGAACUGCUGGAAAAUCCAGACCAGACUUGUCAACCUGCCUUGCAGCCCCUCUAAUCAACCUGGCGACACCUGAAUUUAAUAACGGUAGCGCACCUGUUGCAGGUCAGGAAGUGCCUAGAGACUUAAAUCCACUCUAUCGCUGUGCCUUAAAUAAUGUUUACAAAAAUUGUAUUCCAAUUUAGUUUUAAAAUGUAUACAUAUACAUAUGUAAAUGGCUUACAAAUGGUAAGGAAAUGUUUUAAAAUGAAUUUUCUUAACAAAUAUUAUAGGACAACAUCUAUAAUAUAUCGCCUAAAAGAUUGUUCAAAUUAAACAAAAGGUUAAAUAUAAAACCUUUAUACUUUUUGGAUCAUGUUUCAUUUAGUACAAUAAAAUUUGCGACCAUUUGAAAUGGUACUUAUUGUAGUGUGUA